UGAUCCCUAAAUCAUUUUCAGGAGAAAAAUCACACAGCAAGUGUAUGCUAACAAUGGAAAUCAUGCUGAGCUUGACAGUUCCCCUCUCAGAGAUGUGCACAUCCUAAUUCCUGGAACCUGUGAGUACACUAUCUUGCACAGUGGGGUUAAAUAAAGGUAGUAAUUUAAUGAUGGGAGAUAAGGUUGAUGCAGGUGGAUUCAACAGGAUCAAGCCUUCUAAGAGGGAGGGGGUGGCUCAGAGCCUUGGGCUGAAGCAAGAUGGUGCGUGACGGGAAGAUGGGGCUGGCAGGCAGAGAGAAAGUUCUUGUGCAGAGCCCCCCGGAGGAACCAGCGCUGCCCAGCACCCUGAUUUCCCACGUCUGAAGAAGGAUCUUGUAGGCUAAGAGGUGAGAACAACCUAGCCUUGCUGGCAGGAAUCCAGUCCACAGAGGUCUUGACACUGACCUUUACUCUGGAACUCCAUCCAUCUCUGGAAGAGCUGCUCUUUCGGUCAGACUCCAGUGUCCUCUUCAUCCAACAACUUCCAGCUAUUCAUGGAACCCCCUGACUGAGAGCCAUUACGUGCCAGUAAGAGCCAUCACUUGCCAAUCAUCACGGAAAAGUUGGGAAUCUGUAAAGACAGAUUCUACGAAAGACACAGAUUCUACAGAGCUUUCCCUAGAGUCUCUAAGGGACCUCCCAGGAGAUUACCAGAAAGAAGCCACGUGAGGAUACAGCAAGAACUCUGCCAGCUACAACACCGAAGACAAGCCUCACCAGAAGCCAGCCCUGACAGUACCUUACUCUUGUACUUCCAACUCCAGAAUAGUGAGGAAAUACAUCUAUGGGUUUAUGGCACUCUCUCUGUGACAUUUUGUAUAGUAUCCCUAGCAGACUACUACACCAUUCUAAAAUCUCUUUUCUGUCUUGCUAUGCCUUAUAGGGGCUUCCCUGUUGGCCCACUGGUAAAGAAUCCAUCUUCCAAUGCAGGAGAUAUAAGUUCAGUCCCUGGGUCGGGAAGACCCUCUGGAGAAGGAAAUGGCAACCCACUACAUAGCAGUCUUGCCUGUGAAAUCCCACAGACAGAGGAGCCUGGCCAGCUACAGUCCAUGGGGCCAUCAGGCCGCAAAAGAGUCAGAGGUGACUUAGCGACUAAGUAACAACAAUUCUUGUAGACGUCUUCAUUCUCUUCAUAAACAGGACAGUCUUAUAUGUAAUUGCUUCCUCUGAUGUUGUUGCCAUACUUCAUAGAACAAACUCCAACUCCCACCGAUUCUUGUGUAGCAUUUUGUUAUAACCUAUGGCCCAAACUAGCCUUUCUAAUGCCUCCAGGAAAGGUAAGCAAUUGAGAUGUUACCACAAAUCUGAACCAAGAACACCUGAUUUCUUCAAGCUUCACAGGCAAAUGAAAGAAUUAGAACUGAAUGGCAGAGGAGAAAGCAUGAAGAUGGGUGUAGUCUAAAAAGAAAUGUAAUGGAAGGAAAUUUUAUAUAUAUAUAUAUAUAUAUGUGUGUGUGUGUGUGUGUGUGUGUAUAAAAUAGCCUUGUAUGUAGGUAUAUUGUCUCCUUUUAUUAUAGAAAAACUGAUGAAAGCAAAGUCAUAUCCUAAUGGAAAGAUAUUUGUUACAAUUAA
This is a long non-coding RNA of Bubalus bubalis (water buffalo), 1611 nucleotides long. RefSeq lists it as uncharacterized. The transcript is spliced from 4 exons. The record is from RefSeq and is a predicted model, not a curated record. NCBI's taxonomy places the organism in Eukaryota, Metazoa, Chordata, Mammalia, Artiodactyla, Bovidae.